AUUGAACGCUGGCGGCAGGCCUAACACAUGCAAGUCGAGCGCGCGUCGGACGGGUGAGUAUUAUAUGUGGACUCCCCGAUAUAGGGGGAUAACUACUGGAAACGGUAGCUAAUAUCGCAUACUAUCUCAUUACGCACAUGUGAUUAGCUAUUAGGUGAGGUAAUGGCUCACCUAGGCGACGAUCCCUAGCUGGUCUGAGAGGAUGAUCAGCCACACUGGGACUGAGACACGGCCCAGACUCCUACGGAGGCAGCAGUGGGGAAUAUUGCACAAUGGGCGCAAGCCUGAUGCAGCCAUGCCGCGUGUAUGAAGAAGGCCCUAGGGUUGUAAAGUACUUUCAGUCGGGAGGCGUUACCGACAGAAGAAGCACCGGCUAACUCCGUGCCAGCAGCCGCGGUAAUUC
Molecule: ribosomal RNA, 403 nt
Filed under: uncultured bacterium
Lineage: Bacteria
Description: partial 16S ribosomal RNA
Rfam family: Bacterial small subunit ribosomal RNA
Source: RNAcentral